AUACGUAGGGGGCGAGCGUUGUCCGGGAAUUAUUGGGCGUAAAGGGUUCGUAGGCGGUUAUUUAAGUCAGGUGUGAAAGGCAUAGGCUCAACCUGUGUAAGCACUUGAAACUGAAUGACUUGAGUUAAGGAGAGGAAAGUGGAAUUCCUAGUGUAGCGGUGAAAUGCGUAGAUAUUAGGAGGAAUACCAGUGGCGAAGGCGACUUUCUGGACUUAUACUGACGCUGAGGAACGAAAGCGUGGGGAGC
This 247-nucleotide ribosomal RNA is filed under the name uncultured bacterium. Its description in RNAcentral is "partial 16S ribosomal RNA". It matches the Rfam family "Bacterial small subunit ribosomal RNA", at positions 523 to 769 of the family's 1533-position model. The record is from RNAcentral.